This is a long non-coding RNA of Panicum virgatum (switchgrass), 776 nucleotides long. RefSeq lists it as uncharacterized. The record is from RefSeq and is a predicted model, not a curated record. The transcript is spliced from 2 exons. NCBI's taxonomy places the organism in Eukaryota, Viridiplantae, Streptophyta, Magnoliopsida, Poales, Poaceae.
CGAAAUAAGGCAAAAUUUGCCACAAGACACCGUUAAAAGGUGAACUUUGCUAUAAACCACUAAAAAAUUUUGUCACUGCUGGGAGACACUGAUAAAUCUUGUACAUUUGGCACAGGACACUUCAUGAAUUAUUCUAUCUGAUUUAAUUCAAGAGCCACGGGAAAUGACUAGUUUGCCCCUCCUACCUUAUCUUCUCCCGCAUGCCAUUUUCUUUCUCCAGAAACUAUCGCAUCGCAGAGAAGUUCGCGAACGGAGCUAGCGGCGCCGAUUCCUCCAGCGCGCAGCCCCUCCCCGACGACGGCCGCGCGUGGUAGGGGCCCUUUGCGACAAGCCUUCCCCGGUGUGCAUCUCACCGCCACAUCGCCGAGCUCGAGCAGCAGCAGCUAGCCGCACGCGUGAGCUAGCGUGCCGCCGCGAGGACGAGUGGCUCCGCUGGAGCGCGAGGCCGGGGCAGCCAAGAAGCGGCAGGCGCGCACAGCCGACGAGGAUGGCCACCCCGAGGCCCCGUGCGGAGCGCCGCUGAAGCCUGAAGGUCUCCAGACAAUUCACUAAACCAGUGAUUUGAGCACUGAAAAUGGCCUGCGGGAGGAGAAGACAAGGCAGCAGGGCAAAUUAGUCAUAUCCCGUGGCUCUUCUAUUAAAUCGGAUAGAAUAAUAGAUGUAGUGUCCUGUGGCAAAUGUACAUGAUUUAUCAGUGUCUCCCAGCAGUGACAAAAAAUCUUAGUGGUUUAUAGCAAAGUUCACCUUUUAACGGUGUCUUGUGGCAAAUUUUGCCU